Molecule: ribosomal RNA, 769 nt
Filed under: Epilachna hova
Lineage: Eukaryota; Metazoa; Arthropoda; Insecta; Coleoptera; Coccinellidae
Description: partial 16S ribosomal RNA
Rfam family: Bacterial large subunit ribosomal RNA (bases 1-574)
Source: RNAcentral
CUCUUUUUGANNNUAAUNUAAAGUNNGGCCUGCCCACUGAAAUUUGAAGGGCCGCAGUAUUUUGACUGUGCAAAGGUAGCAUAAUCAUUAGUUUUUUAAUUGAAAGCUUGUAUGAAUGGUUUGAUGAGAAAAUUACUGUUUCAAUUUUAAAAUUUAGAAUUUUAUUUUUAAGUUAAAAAGCUUAAAUUAAAUUUAAAGACGAGAAGACCCUAUAGAGUUUUACUGAAGUUAAAAUUUUAAAUUUUAGAAUUUAUAAUUUUAAAUUUUAAUUAAGUUUUGUUGGGGUGACAGAAAAAUUAAGUUAACUUUUUUUAAAUUUUUACAAUAAUGAUUGAGUUUUUGAUCCAUUAAAAUGAUUAAAAGAUUAAAUUACCUUAGGGAUAACAGCGUAAUUUUUUUUAAGAGUUCUUAUUUGAAAAAGAGAUUGCGACCUCGAUGUUGGAUUAAAAUUAAUUUUUGGUGUAGAAGCUAAAAUAUUAGGUCUGUUCGACCUUUAAAAUUUUACAUGAUCUGAGUUUAAACCGGUGUAAGCCAGGUUGGUUUCUAUCUUAAAUAAAAAUCAAUAUUUUAGUACGAAAGGAUCAAAUAUUGUAUUUAUAAUAUUAAUUGAAGAAUUUUAUUUUGGCAGAUUAGUGCGAAGGAUUUAGAAUCUUUUUAUGUAAAGUUUACAAAUAAAAAUUGAUUUAGUUUUAAUGUUAACAAAUUUUUUAGUUUUAUUUGUAGGAGUUUUAGUAGGGGUAGCUUUUUUGACUUUAUUAGAGCGAAAGCU